UACGGGGGGGGCAAGCGUUGUUCGGAAUUACUGGGCGUAAAGGGCUCGUAGGCGGCCAACUAAGUCAGACGUGAAAUCCCUCGGCUUAACCGGGGAACGGCGUCUGAUACUGGAUGGCUUGAAUCCGGGAGAGGGAUGCGGAAUUCCAGGUGUAGCGGUGAAAUGCGUAGAUAUCCGGAGGAACACCGAAGGCGAAGGCAGUGUCCUGGGGAGUACCUGACGCUCAGGUGCGAAAGCUAGGGGAGCGAACGGG
Molecule: ribosomal RNA, 253 nt
Filed under: uncultured bacterium
Lineage: Bacteria
Description: partial 16S ribosomal RNA
Rfam family: Bacterial small subunit ribosomal RNA
Source: RNAcentral